AGUCGAGCGGACAGAUGGGAGCUUGCUCCCUGAUGUUAGCGGCGGACGGGUGAGUAACACGUGGGUAACCUGCCUGUAAGACUGGGAUAACUCCGGGAAACCGGGGCUAAUACCGGGAUGGUUGUUUGAACCGCAUGGUUCAAACAUAAAAGGUGGCUUCGGCUACCACUUACAGAUGGACCCGCGGCGCAUUAGCUAGUUGGUGAGGUAACGGCUCACCAAGGCGACGAUGCGUAGCCGACCUGAGAGGGUGAUCGGCCACACUGGGUACUGAGACACGGCCCAGACUCCUACGGGGAGGCAGCAGUAGGGGAAUCUUCCGCAAUGGACGAAAAGUCUGACGGAGCAACGCCCGCGUGGAGUGAUGAAAGGUUUUCGGRAUCGUAAAGCUCUGUUGUUAGGGGAAAGAACAAGUACCCGUUCGAAAUAAGGGCGGGUACCCUUGACGGGUACCCUAAACCCAGAAAAGCCCACCGGGCUUAAACUUACGUGGCCCAAGCYAGCCCCGCGGGUUAAAUAAC
This 521-nucleotide ribosomal RNA is filed under the name Bacillus subtilis. RNAcentral's name for it is "bacterial SSU rRNA". It matches the Rfam family "Bacterial small subunit ribosomal RNA", at positions 60 to 539 of the family's 1533-position model. The record is from RNAcentral. Lineage: Bacteria; Bacillati; Bacillota; Bacilli; Caryophanales; Bacillaceae.